CAUAUGCAUACGAAUAAGUAUCUCUGUUUCUGGGAAAGGGCUUGUUAUGGCAAAAUAUCUGAGGACAGCAAGAAAUCUCCUGCGCGAAACAACGUCACCAGGUGAGAAUUAUAUGGUUGGCUGUUUCUUAUAUGAGAAGGAAGGCCUCGAAACUCUGUAUACAGCGUGAAAUAUCACCUCGGCCCGGACCUGAGAACCUCUGCGGCUUGGGUGCGAGGCAGGUCGUUUCACGCGCUAAGGAAGCGCGAGUGGGACGGUCAUUACCAUUCCAACCGGUUGAGCAAGCUGGCGCAAGCGCGCUGCUUGCCUCCCUACAGCCGAGGGCUUCGGCGAUCCCAGCACGGUCUCAUGUACUCCUGCCAGAGGUAGUGCGCAUAUGAUCUUUGCUCGCUCACGUACGCUCUGGAGCGGGGCACAGGGCAGCUCAUGGCGGGUGCGGGCAGCGAUCUAUCAGUCGGAGACCUCCGGUUCGACGGCUGGGAACCACUCGUCUUGAGACCCGCGAGCGUAAAAUGGCGUUUGACAAGAGAGCACACGCUUUGUAGUGGAUUGAACCAGAGGACAGCCUGGCACGCAGAGCAGCUCGACACCUGCCUCAACUGCGUACGGCUUGACCGCGUGUGAUUGAUGGCGACCGACGUUAUCGAAGCGCUGAAUAGAAGGAUAUGCGAAGGAGAAGUCAGUGAGCGUGCGUCGACGGAGGACGCAGUGUUGAGCGGUGCUGUACUUUUGGGAACGUGUAGGCGACCGCUGGAUAACAUCGUCGCUCGAGAAGGUGUUGUCGGAAUGCUCGCGUGGCUCUUCUUUACGAACAGCUGUGUGCGCCUCCCUGAGUAGCCCUAGUCAGGUCUGCCAGUUCUCUAGAAUAAGGUCGCAUCGAGCGAGACGAAGACGUAUCCCUGCAGAGGUAAGCUUUCGCGCCUCACUGCGACGUCGAUAGUGCAGCGUUCAGCGCGGGACGCUGGAGUCUAAGAGCGUGCUUUGCGCUUUGUCUACCCGCAUCUCCUGCUCUCCGCUCGUGUGACGGGGUAGGGGAUCUGCGCGCACUGGUGCCUCUCUGAGUGUACGAUUCAGGAAACGUAUGGAGUGGCUUUGAUCCCCGUGGAGAGAAUCUGCUAGGCAGAGAAUGCUAUGUUCUCUUUUGGAUGUGCGCUGCUCAGGAUGAAGGCUUCGACACAGGUGGUUCAUCGACCAGGUUAACGCGGAUGUACUGACUCGUAGAUUUCAAGGGGUUAUUGUCUGGCGCGCCUCAGCGUAGGGGAAAGCGCCUUCUCGACCUUCCCGCAGUCUACAGGAAACCUUCAUAUUGCAGAUUACCUACGAUAAACAACGGACAAAAGUAGAAAGGUAGAGUAGGUACAGGCUUUCCAGAAUUUACUGCUGUGGGCAUAACGCCGGUUGGUGUCACGACAUGCUGUACCGAGAACCUCAGUUGAGGAAGACGUUCCAUCUCAAUGUUUUCGGAACGCAAACGUGCAUGGGGAAAAGCUCUAUGAGUGUAGCUGCAACAAACCUCGGUGGGUACGCGCACAUGCGCAAACUUCACAUCUGAAGCAGUGCUGCACUUCGCACAUGUACACUGGGGAGAGCAUCGGGAGACCUGGAAUGACAUUGCGUGCUCGUUUCUCAUCUGGAUGCAAUAACUGACUUACUUGUGGUAUCUGGCGGAAAGAAGCGAGCAUUUUUCCCGCUCAGAAACGGCCUUUAUCCGUUUAAUAUACAGUAUGGGUUGCUGAUCUUCGAAUAAAGCGGAGUUGUGGAGCAAGCUGCAUUGAUUCGCGGGAUGGAUAGAGCCUCGUCUGAUCCAGCUGACAAGUAAUGCAUAUUGUCUCGUUACCGUGCACAACCUGCAAUGAUGUUCUCUGCUCUGCAUGGCGGAUAUUUCCAUCCUUAGAGGGAACGUUCUCAGCGGAUGGCAUUGUUUGAUAUGUCACAAAAGAUGGAAUACGGGCACAGUUCUUAGUGUUGCAGCCGGAACUCGCAACCCUGCCUGCUGACGGUAGCCGGCUCAGACGGUGGGGUCGUAGAGUCAAUUUUGCGUUAGGCCCUUUCGCGGUGCAAGCCUCUGAUAUGCUUUCAUAUAUUCAACGUUGACGUGGUUCAUGGCGAGACUCAGGCACCCUACUCAUUCGGAAAACUCUGCAUCAUAAAAGCUG
RNAcentral lists this unclassified non-coding RNA (2156 nucleotides) under Cyanidioschyzon merolae strain 10D. Its description in RNAcentral is "hypothetical transcript". Lineage: Eukaryota; Rhodophyta; Bangiophyceae; Cyanidiales; Cyanidiaceae. The record is from RNAcentral.